This 495-nucleotide ribosomal RNA is filed under the name uncultured bacterium. RNAcentral describes it as "partial 16S ribosomal RNA". It matches the Rfam family "Bacterial small subunit ribosomal RNA", at positions 28 to 507 of the family's 1533-position model. The record is from RNAcentral.
GACGAACGCUGGCGGCGUGCCUAAUACAUGCAAGUAGAACGCUGAAGGAGGAGCUUGCUUCUCUGGAUGAGUUGCGAACGGGUGAGUAACGCGUAGGUAACCUGCCUGGUAGCGGGGGAUAACUAUUGGAAACGAUAGCUAACACCGCAUAAGAGUAGAUGUUGCAUGACAUUUGCUUAAAAGGUGCAAUUGCAUCACUACCAGAUGGACCUGCGUUGUAUUAGCUAGUUGGUGGGGUAACGGCUCACCAAGGCGACGAUACAUAGCCGACCUGAGAGGGUGAUCGGCCACACUGGGACUGAGACACGGCCCAGACUCCUACGGGAGGCAGCAGUAGGGAAUCUUCGGCAAUGGACGGAAGUCUGACCGAGCAACGCCGCGUGAGUGAAGAAGGUUUUCGGAUCGUAAAGCUCUGUUGUAAGAGAAGAACGAGUGUGAGAGUGGAAAGUUCACGCUGUGACGGUAUCUUACCAGAAAGGGACGGCUAACUACGUG